RNA transcript from Musa acuminata AAA Group (dessert banana), 907 nucleotides. It is a transcript of the gene named 1,4-dihydroxy-2-naphthoyl-CoA thioesterase 1, with no coding region annotated. The record is from RefSeq and is a predicted model, not a curated record. The transcript has 4 exons. Lineage: Eukaryota; Viridiplantae; Streptophyta; Magnoliopsida; Zingiberales; Musaceae.
CCAUCGAACGACCAGUAUACAUUUCCCCUUUUCCAACAAUAAUUUAAUGGCUGUGACCGGACCCCCACCAUGUUCUGUUAACCGGUGACUCCAAUCAUUCCUCCCCUUUGUGGCCUCAGAAGACGAAGAAGAAGAAGAAGAAGAGUAGGUGACGAUGACGAAGCCACCACCGACGUCAAAGACGGCAGAGCUGGACGCGCCGCUCCAUGCCAUCGGCUUCGAGAUCGACGUCGUCUCCGCAACGAGGGUCAACGGCCGGCUUACCGUCACCGAGUCCUGCUGCCAGCCGUUCAAGGUGCUCCACGGAGGGGUAUCGGCGCUGAUAGCGGAGGCGCUGGCCAGCAUGGGGGCGCACGUCGCCUCCGGGUACCGGCGGGUGGCGGGCAUCCAGCUCAGCAUCAACCACCACCGCAGCGCCCGCGCCGGUGACCGCGUCUUCGCCGAGGCCACCCCUCUCCAACCCGGCAAAACCAUACAGACCCGAAGGCGAUGUUGUGGAACCCGCCACCACUGUCUCGGCCGAGAUCUGCAGGCGUUGCCUCCGUCUCCAGUCAUCGUCACGUGGGUCGGUGGGGGGCGUGCGUUGGCAGGGCGGGAAGGGGUAGUAUUGUUCGCUAUCUGGGAAGGAAGUGAACGUGGCAACAUCUGAGCGGUAGAUAAAAGCUCCGACGUAGUGGUCCCGUGUCGAUCAGUAACGGAGGUGCCGGACCUGCUGAAACCACCACUAAUACGCCACGGCAUCGGUGGAACCGCCUUCUCUCCAAUCACAAAGCAGGUGUGGGAGGUGCGUCUAUGGAAGAUGGAUCAGUCCACCUUAGAGAAGGCGGUCUUGAUGUCCUCAUCGAGGGUUACACUGCUGUCAAAUAUGCCCGUACCAGAUGAUGCACAAGAUUCAGUGGAAAACUUG